UUUUUGUUUUAAUUAUGAACAUUCUUUCUUUCUUUUGCCUUUUCCAUAUCAUUGGAAGUAUGCAUUCUCUUGAUUUAUGAUAAAGGAGUGAAAACACAUAUUGAUUUGAGUGCCUUUUGUUUAGAGGUGGCCAACAGUCCAGCCUAGGCCAGUUCAGGGCCAAAAUUGGUUUUGAUCAAAUCUAAUAGUUGAAGUUUUUUCAAUUUUUUUUAAAUGGAAAAAAAAUUCAGUUUUAGCUCAAAACUGGACCGACUAGUUCUAGUCCGGUUCAAGACCAAUUUUAUUCAAUCCUAUUUUGAUCGGUUUCAGUCCAGAUUGAAGCGAUCCGAUUCCGGUUCCAAACCAGAACGUGGCUGGAUCUACCUAUGUCAAUCAUUUUUUAUUGACAUGGAGAAAAUUGAACAUUUCUUAAAACAUUUUUGUGCUCAUUAGCAAUGGUUGAAUCAUUGAUAGGUGAUUGGAACUUCCAUCACUGGACUUGGGACAGAUGAAGAUUCACUGACUAGAGCGAUAGUAACUAGAGCUGAAAUUGACACAAUGAAAAUCAGGGGGGAGUAUUUCAACAUCUACGGAACUAACCUUGAUGGUGCAGUCGAUGAUGACACUUCAGGGGAUUAUAGAGAGUUCUUGAUGACCUUACUUGGUGCUAGAAUCUGAAUUCAUUCUCCCUUCACUCAUUUCAAUUUUUAUUUUCAAUGUUGAUAUUGGAUUGUUUAUGCUGGCAUCUUUGAGAUAAAAAGUUGUAAACUGGCUGGAUCAGAACUCAAACUUUACUGAUCAGUUGUGAUUGAUCCAAUCUUAUGGUAUGUACAUAAACCUCAUCAACCCUACUGCUCUUAGUUAAUUCAAACCAUGUUUGAAGUUUUAUAAAUCAAU
Molecule: unclassified non-coding RNA, 876 nt
Filed under: Hevea brasiliensis (rubber tree)
Lineage: Eukaryota; Viridiplantae; Streptophyta; Magnoliopsida; Malpighiales; Euphorbiaceae
Source: RNAcentral